UUUUAGCCCUGAUGGCAACGGCAUCCUUUUUCUUCCGCUUUUUUCAGCGGAGAAAAAGAUAUAGUGAACAGCAGGAAAUAGC
Molecule: non-coding RNA, 82 nt
Organism: Flavobacterium fryxellicola
Lineage: Bacteria; Pseudomonadati; Bacteroidota; Flavobacteriia; Flavobacteriales; Flavobacteriaceae
Source: Rfam